Molecule: ribosomal RNA, 303 nt
Filed under: uncultured bacterium
Lineage: Bacteria
Description: bacterial SSU rRNA
Rfam family: Bacterial small subunit ribosomal RNA
Source: RNAcentral
UGGGGAAUAUUGCACAAUGGGGGGAACCCUGAUGCAGCAACGCCGCGUGAAGGAAGAAGUAAUUCGUUAUGUAAACUUCUAUCGACAGGGAAGAAAGAAAUGACGGUACCUGAAUAAGAAGCCCCGGCUAAUUACGUGCCAGCAGCCGCGGUAAUACGUAAGGGGCAAGCGUUAUCCGGAUUUACUGGGUGUAAAGGGUGAGUAGGCGGCGAUGCAAGUCAUAUGUGAAAUUCCGGGGCUUAACUCCGGAGCUGCAUAAGAAACUGCGUUGCUUGAGUGCAGGAGAGGCAAGCGGAAUUCCUA